Molecule: ribosomal RNA, 492 nt
Filed under: uncultured bacterium
Lineage: Bacteria
Description: partial 16S ribosomal RNA
Rfam family: Bacterial small subunit ribosomal RNA
Source: RNAcentral
AGUGAACGCUGGCGGUAGGCCUAACACAUGCAAGUCGAACGGCAGCACAGUAAGAGCUUGCUCUUACGGGUGGCGAGUGGCGGACGGGUGAGGAAUACAUCGGAAUCUACUUUUUCGUGGGGGAUAGCGUAGGGAAACUUACGCUAAUACCGCAUACGACCUACGGGUGAAAGCAGGGGAUCUUCGGACCUUGCGCGAUUGAAUGAGCCGAUGUCGGAUUAGCUAGUUGGCGGGGUAAAGGCCCACCAAGGCGACGAUCCGUAGCUGGUCUGAGAGGAUGAUCAGCCACACUGGAACUGAGACACGGUCCAGACUCCUACGGGAGGCAGCAGUGGGGAAUAUUGGACAAUGGGCGCAAGCCUGAUCCAGCCAUACCGCGUGGGUGAAGAAGGCCUUCGGGUUGUAAGGCCCUUUUGUUGGGAAAGAAAAGCAGCAGGUUAAUACCCCGCUGUUCUGACGGUACCCAAAGAAUAAGCACCGGCUAACUUCGUG